UACGAAGGGGGCUAGCGUUGUUCGGAAUUACUGGGCGUAAAGCGCGCGCAGGCGGUCUUCCAAGUCAGUGGUGAAAGCCCGGAGCUCAACUCCGGAACUGCCAUUGAAACUGUUAGACUUGAGGAUGAGAGAGGUGAGUGGAAUUCCCAGUGUAGAGGUGAAAUUCGUAGAUAUUGGGAAGAACACCGGUGGCGAAGGCGGCUCACUGGCUCGUUUCUGACGCUCAGGCGCGACAGCGUGGGGAUCAAACAGG
This 253-nucleotide ribosomal RNA is filed under the name uncultured bacterium. Its description in RNAcentral is "partial 16S ribosomal RNA". It matches the Rfam family "Bacterial small subunit ribosomal RNA", at positions 524 to 776 of the family's 1533-position model. The record is from RNAcentral.